UUUGGUGGGAAAUGUUCUUCAUUUUAGAUAAUGAAACCAUUCCAUUACUACCAACCCAAAGAAAUACGACCUCUCUGAGAUAUACGGUUUAUGCCGUAAAGGUACGAAGUUGGACUAAUUUGGAAACAUUGGGCAAUUUACUUUAUACCUACUAUUCGUCUGGUUUUUGGUUCCUAGUCUGAUUUUAUUAGUAGCCAUGAUUGGGGCUAUAGUACUAACUAUGCAUAGGACUACCCACGGAGCGGUGAAAAGACAGGAUGUAUUCCGACGAAAUGCUAUUUCUUUUAGGAGGACUAUAAUGAGGAGGACGACAGACCCAAUCACGAGAUAAUAAAGGAAAAGAAAGGAACGUCAGAUUGGUUCGAAUCCAAUUCGUGGUGAGAUAACAGGAAUCUAAAACUAAGAAUGCCAAUAAUCUACUCCUUGACUCCGAUUCAUUCAAAACUUCUUGUGAGGAGACUCAGAAAAGACUUCUAAAAUAGAUCACAGUCAAACAUAGAACGUACGUAAAUUAAAAAAGUCUUUACCUCCGACCUCACUUUGAAAACAAGGAAGAAAGGAACUUUUCACUACCGAUAUACAAAGAAGGAGAAAUGCUCAUCUUUCUCUAUAGUACGAAGCACUCAUAGCACUUGCUGGGAUCAAUUCUUGGAUCACUAAGAGGCAUUCUAAAAACUUAUUCUCUUCCGAAAAGAAGAGAGGCAUCUUCAGGUAGUUAGAAGCAGGUAGUAAUGCUGGGGGUUUGGGGACCGCAGCCCCCCUUGUAAGCAGUAACCAUGUUCUCGUGGCGGUGCCUUUCUUAUUGAUUUGGUGGGGGUGGCUUUCUUGGUUUAAAGAAUAUCUCUUAGAGGUUAGCUCUCUGGUAAGCGAAUAAGGUAGUGCUAACUAUCUUCGCAAGAUGAGAGCAAGCAAGUCCCGAGAGAAAGUAAGCAGGUAGUGCUUUCGCGCAUAGCAGGUCUCGUGUGCAUGAAUGUGUUGAUUGCGCCUUUGUCUUUUCUUUAAUAAAUAUCUCUUAGCUCUGCCAAUUAGUAGGACUUCCUGCACUGAAAGCUUAGUAAAGUAGAGAAGAAAGAGGAUGCACAACGAAGAGAAGCCAAGACCCAAUACCCAAGGACGAAAGGGAGAAUGUAAAAGAGAACCACUCAGCCCAAAGGGAAGAAGACUAAAGACAACCAAAAUGGGAGCGGAGAAGAAUGAAGCCAACCCCCGAAAAAGGUAAAAAAAAGAAGAAAGCGGCAAACUCCAGAGAGAGGGGAAGGGCAGAGAAGUAAACCAUCCAGAGAGGGAGAAAAAAGGAGGAAGAAAUAGGAUUCGGAUGAAGAAUAAGAAAGAGAGAACGAUGCCGAGGCUAAAGUCAAAACCUAAGUCGAAGUUCAAGCUAAAGAAGAUGCCUAAGUUGAAGCUUAAGUCGAUGCCAAAGCCGGUCUGGAAUAGGGAACACCAAUUGAAAUAGCUGCCUUCCCUUACUAAUGUGGGAUCAGUUCCUCUCGAACACCUCCUAGGAGCGUCGCAUUCGAUGCAUCUAGGGUUUUAUUUUAGAGAGGCGCCUUGCGUGGGUGCUAUCUAAAUUGAGGUUUUUCCUACCUAGCUCAAUAAUGGAGAGAAUGCCCUUACGGGGUUAUUUCCGUUCAGUCUAAUCCUAUUCUCAUGUGCAAAGGCUUAUCGAUCCCUUUUGAGUCAGAUGUGGCAUUGCUGAUUUGAGAGCAGUUGUCCUUUCUACUAAAAUUAUCCCUGCUUUUCGCCCGUCGCUCAUGUGUUAAGCCAUGUCUUCAGCCUAGUGCCAUCUACACCAUAUCUGAUUUCCUUUCCUUCCCGCUCUGAUCCAGCUACUCCUCUUCUUUUAAUGCCUACAGAGAGGUUUAGUUAGCCUGCUUCCUCUCUGUUCAAGGAGCGCUUAUUCCUUCUUCGAGAGCAGCUUAUUCUUGUGCUACAGUACAGAACAAGGCAUUCGAGCAAAGGCAUAAAGAAGCCUAGCCUUUAGUUCACUUGCAAGAGAGAGAGCCCAGAGAGAGUGCCCUUAUUUAUACAACGUCCUUACUUUCUUCGAUGCGCCUAGUAAAGUAGCCAUAUUCACAGGAAAGGAAGCCAUAGACCGAUGGCAUAAAAUGAGUUAGAUUUCCUGUGCUAACAAGAAGCAAUUUCUUCGGGUAGCUCAUCAGGAUGAAAGAAGCAGCCGUAGCAUGAAAGAAAGAGAAGUAGAGUAGGAUGAAGGAAGCAGAAGUGAUAGGCAAGCGUGCCUGGAAGCGCAAUGCUAUUGUAGCAGCUCCUUAGCCUUCUUUCAGUCCUCCAUUCUCUCUUUGGAAAUGUGUAUCACCAUACACUCAUCUCAUACCAGAUACUGAAUCUAGGGCUAAGUUCCAAUCUUUCAACCUUUUUUCAUAUAUUUGACUUGGAGAUUCCCGGUCUUCUGUCUUAACCCUGACCCUAUUCAGAGAGACUCUUCAACAGCACCUUUUCGCACCCAGCAUCUUAGCAAUGUUCCGAAUGUCUGGUCAUUGAUAAUCUUUCUCAUAGAUUAGUUUGAUGCCGACUAGAUUUGAUCACAACUAACGGGUAGUACUAUAGGGGUCUUACUCUCAGCAGUGAAUGACAAAGGAAUGUGGAAUGUCAAGCUGUGAAACUGAAAUCAUCAAUCUUUUGCUUUUUCUAUUCCGUGUAGCGGAGACUUUUUAGUAAAAAUACCAAGCUGUGAGACUUCUUCAGUGAGAAUCCCAGUGUGAAAGACUUGGCAAGAUUGGCUUCGUAGUGGUACCACAACUUGGAUGAACAAGUCGAAACUUCUCUUUUUGGCUAUACCUCCUGUAAAUCAAAACACAAGUUUAGGGCACCCUAACGGUGGGACACGACAUGGAGAUUGAAUCAUCUUUCUCUCUUUAACCUCUUUCCCUCAUUACUGAAGCGAGUGUUCGGGCAGGUGGAGUGAUAGCUAAGCGAGUCAGUCAACGAGCGGGAUAUAUGAAGUGAACCAGAUAGGGCCCCGGGUUUCAUUCCGCCUUGUUCCAAGUAACAAGAUCUAUUUCGAGAAAAAAGUGGGGGAUUCUUUAGCUAGAGCAAAGGGCUAUUUCGUGAACUCGAGGAAGAAUGAGUACUAGUCCUGGCUUUUAAAAGACUAGUUCCUGUCCUGUCUGUGUCUGAGGGAGCAGCAAAGCCCCCGAAGCGGUAUAAGAGAAAGAAGUCAGUGCUGCUUUUGCUGUUACAGAAUCUGCUUUUUCUAGUUCAAAUAGUGUCUCACAUUCAAGCCCGGAAAUUCUUGUUUGAAUGCCCAAAGAUCUGCCUUAUCGAACAUCUAAGACUGAGAAGACUGAUGGCAUUAAGGCAUAAGCUGCUAUCGAAUCUAGCUAUCCUGAAGUGACUUAAAUAUGAAUGAAUAGAAAGAGAAAGAGAAUAGGCGGAGAAUGCCCUGAGAGAGGGAGCUGUGAGGGAAGGGAAGCUACCUUGCGUCUACUAGAACAAGUACUAGCACUAAUGAAAGGGAAAUGUUUAAUCAGGUCAAUAAAGCUGAGAUGCUUCUACUUCCCAAAUUGCCUCUGCUGGCAUCAUCCAAAGAGAAAGACUCAGUCUUAGUGGUUGCCAAUAGAGAAGGUAGAAGGCGCUUUAGCCCUUUUGCUUGCUGAGAAAUGCCCCCCUUUUUGCCUAUCUCACUUGUUUACAGCUCUUAUGGGUAUUUAGCGCUGCUUUCACAUGAUGCAAUAUCUAGGCCUCCUAGACCUGUUCUCUCGCCCAAGCCUCACAGCAUUCUAUUCCAAGCACUAAGUAUUCCCUGCCUGCUCAGAUGCGUCAAUCCACCUAUAUGUACCCUUUUCCUCGCAUAGAGAGCUCUAGUAGUUCUUGGUAGGAGGGAACUAAGACUUUAUCUAAGGUUCAUUUCUAUUUGCUCUCCCGCUACGCUAGUACUUAAGAGACUAUCUUAGCCCAGAGUGAUCCCCCACUACCAAAGUGGAGACACCUUUAUCUCGUCAGCCUCCUUACCGCUCCGUGGGCUACCUUCACGUCACUUCCUUGAACUCGCUUAAGGAAAUCCCAAGCUCCAACACUCGAAAAGAAAAACUACACAACAACAAGGCAAUGGGGCCUACAAAGCCCCAUUUAUACCACCACUCAAAAUGACAACUCAAAACACCAAUUAUGAAACCCUCUCUCUCCCACUUCACACCUCGGAACGCACCGUUCUUAUAGAGAGAAAGGCGCUUUCACAUCUUCUUAACCCGAAAUGGCUGGGGAGAGGUAAGGUUCUUUUUUUUAGGGUACUCCUGGGAACAGAUCCAGUGGAGACGAGGUGGGGCCUAUAGCUCAGAGGAUUAGAGCACGUGGGACAGGUGAGGGAAGGAAGAAAGAUCUCUGAUCCAGUGGAUGCUUGAAGUGAGGUAAGCCGAUCCCAUGAGAAGGGUUCAAGCCGAGCUCCUUUAGCUAGUAGAAAGCGGUUAGCGCCUGUCGUAAAGGGCAUUAGGUUUUGAAAGAAGACCUGAAGACCGGGUUGUGACAAUGAAAAUUUUUCCUAUUGAUUUGAGUGCCGAUAUUAUCGUUUUGUAAAAUAUUAAAGGUUGACAAGGUACGGUACGUCAGUUCCGGGACUUAUCUUGAGAAGGGGAGUUUGAAGCCCGCCCCAUGGAAGGUGGGAUUCGAAUGUCACGUCUUUAGUUGUGCCCGAAGCGGGUAAGGUCAAGUUGUACCCGAUCUACUGAUCGAUCGUAGACCAGUCUUGUAGUUGAUUCUUCGGCUAUUUUUUAUUCUUCUUUAAAGGAUCCACGGAGCCUGUCCCCGGGAUUGAAUCUUGUUCAGUGAAGCGAAGAAUGGUAAUAUUUUUACUCCUUAGAAGAUUGGAUUCGAGUGUCACACUCUUUAGCUGCCGUUAAGCGGUUAAGUAGGAAGGAUAGGGCUAUUGUUGUUGUAGUAGAAGCUAAAGGUUGUCAACUGAUGUUCUGUUCCAGGUUUUUCCAGCUUGAAAAUGAAGACGAAGCAGCCAUCCCAUGGAAGAUGGGCGGUGAGUAGAAAGGCUUUUAGCGCUGUGCUGCGGCAUGGGCCCUUCAGCGUCUAGGCAAACUCUUUCAUAACCUUGUCCCUUGUGUCGUUGAGAGGAGUCUAAAGCCAGAUAAGACCAUUCCCUAAGGGACUUUUUCUUAGAAAGUCAGGCUGGUUGUCAAUCAGAAGAUCAGGCCAAAAUCGACGAUUCUAGACGGGUUGAGACAUUCUUGUCGGUCAAUGUGGAUUUCUUGCCUGACAGAUAGCCUUUUUUUUCUGCCGGAGGUAGUAAGUUAGCGAGAGGGGUGAAGCAGGCUAGCGAUUCUACUAUUACGUUCCAGUAGUAAGCUGAUAGUCCGCUAUCUUCUCUUAGGUAGCAGCACAUGGGAGUAGCAAGAAUCUGCCUCCCGCAUAAGAUAGAAGGGGCGAAGCGCUAGUUAGUGGGAAGAGUCCUUUCUGGCCCCUGGCGAGAAGACGGCUCACGGCUUGCAUGUACAAGAUCGUAGUGAAAUCGCAGCUUCACCGUCCGUUCGCGCUGAUCCCGAGCAGCGUGUCAGCCGAGAGGGAACUCGGUAAAGAAAUUCGGCUCGAGGGCCUCUAUUUCCACAGGCUUUGUCUUGUUUCUAUAGGAUCUGCUGCUCCAACCCUAUCUACUUGUGAUGUACCCUGGGUUGGUUUGGCCUUUUACGUAAUCCUUUCCGCUGAUGGUUAUGGGUAAACCACAGUAAAGCAGAAAGGAAAGCCUCUCAGGACAACGUUUUCGUCGCCGUUAAAGCCGAGAGAGAAGUCUCUAAAGCCCGCUAUGGUCUGGGCUCUCGCUUACGUCGUCCGUCCGGGGGACUCCAUUACGCUGCUCGCCCUAUUAGCCGGCGGCAACCAUGGUAAUUUAUUAAUUUCAGCCAGUCCGUAAUUUGUUGAAUAAUAGCAGCCGGUUGAGAUAUUUCGCCAGGAAAUUCAUCUUCGGUAUGGUACACAUAUCUAUACAGUAUUGCAGAGACGAGCUGGCUAGACUCUUAUCGAAAUUGCGUAUAGAAAGAGAUUCGUCUUGAAAGCUAGACAGACAAUUUCUAUUCCCUAUGGCCCAUGUGAUAGUGAAAGACAACAUUGUCCUAGAACGGUCAAAUAGAAUUUGAAUCUUCUAUUUGACUUCCUACGGGCAUCACAUGAUUACCAUAGUAUAUGAAGACCUCAGUCAGCUCCCCACCAAUGAGCGGUGGUGCUUCUGUUCCAGUCGACUCAUUACCAUAGUCAGGAUGCAACCGUGUAUAGUUUCUUUUGUUGUAUAUGAUGUACCUAGGUUGNNNNNNNNNNNNNNNNNNNNNNNNNNNNNNNNNNNNNNNNNNNNNNNNNNNNNNNNNNNNNNNNNNNNNNNNNNNNNNNNNNNNNNNNNNNNNNNNNNNNNNNNNNNNNNNNNNNNNNNNNNNNNNNNNNNNNNNNNNNNNNNNNNNNNNNNNNNNNNNNNNNNNNNNNNNNNNNNNNNNNNNNNNNNNNNNNNNNNNNNNNNNNNNNNNNNNNNNNNNNNNNNNNNNNNNNNNNNNNNNNNNNNNNNNNNNNNNNNNNNNNNNNNNNNNNNNNNNNNNNNNNNNNNNNNNNNNNNNNNNNNNNNNNNNNNNNNNNNNNNNNNNNNNNNNNNNNNNNNNNNNNNNNNNNNNNNNNNNNNNNNNNNNNNNNNNNNNNNNNNNNNNNNNNNNNNNNNNNNNNNNNNNNNNNNNNNNNNNNNNNNNNNNNNNNNNNNNNNNNNNNNNNNNNNNNNNNNNNNNNNNNNNNNNNNNNNNNNNNNNNNNNNNNNNNNNNNNNNNNNACUCUAUAACCUUGCUCACUCUAGAACCAGGGGGAGACUCACUGGCUGACUCCUACUCCUACUCAUACAGGCUUAGCUUACAGAGUAGCUUUCCUCUAGCUUACUUUGAAUCACCCUUAACCUACUUCCAAAAAGGGUGAACCAUAGAAUGAUGAUUAGCGGGCUAGGAUCUGAGUUUGUGGCUUCCUUGCUAGCGGGAUAGAAAGUAGGCUAAGGAAGGGUUAAGGGAAUUACUUACAGCGACGAAAGGGUUAGAGCGUUAGAUGAGGGUUAGAGAGUGGGACUAGUUCUCCUACUACAACGAGGGGAUCUAUACUCCAGGUUAGAGGAUAGACUCAUAUACCAGGCACUAAGGGUUAGAACGUAGCCUGACUCUAUACUUUUGGGUUUAGGGUUUCAGCGUGGGAUUAACUUAAGAACUACGCCUACAAGGCGGUUAGCUGUGCUUCCCUUCCUCAACGGUAACUGGCAGCUAAGACUGCUUAUUCCUUGUUCACAUUCAACUUCCUUACCUUAAAACCAUGAGCAGAGUGCCGCCGAGAGGAAUCGGACUUAUUUAAUCAUUCCCAUUGAUUGUAGUCGUUUAGUUCCAUUCGUUCGCUUUAGAAAGGGUAGUUACCCCUGGUCUUUCUCACCUUGGGCUUGAGCCAGUAGAAAUGACUUAAUCAAGAGAGAGAACCCCUUUGAACGGGAUCAACUAUAUCCACUUAAGUCGGCCUUACUCGGGUGAAUUUCUACGCUUAUCUCAUCUGCUAGCUCGCCUUCUUCUUUAACUAGUCUUUACUUUAGCAUUCUCUUUCUCUUUCUCUUUCUGGCUUAGCCUAGCCCAUGAGAACAUACUUUUCUUUUUCAAUUCAUUUCCAUCGGACUUAUCCGGGUUCUAAUUAAUAAGUAGCUUGCCUGGGGGUGAGCUCCUCCUACUGAUCUUACUCCAAGAGAUUCAAUAUCACCGGAGAGAAAGCCUAGUCACAGGAACUGAAACAAUUGAAUUACCUGAGGCUAUCCCAGUUCCAGUUUCGGUAACACGAGAAAGUCUGUCUUUUGGCAUAUAUCUGUCUUCUUCUUUAAACCCCUAAACUAUUCCUUAUAGUAUAAUCUACCUACGCAACUCUUUUGAAGUUAAGCAGGCUUCAAAGCUUUAAGGGCUAGGCUUGCUGCUGGGGUUUCAUUUUUAAUAUUAAAGAGCUCGGCCUUGAGCCUUUACCUACCUAAAUCAAUUCCCUUUUGCCUAGGUCUGGGAUCGAUCCUUUCUCUUCCUCUGGUCUAGUUAGUGACUUCGCUUCCCGCCCUUAAUUAGGAGUUUUGGCUUUGUUAGCCAGGCCUUUGAAACCAAGGAAAGUAGUCAUCAACCCAGAGCUAGUUCUAACAACUACCGAUUCUUCUGGGGCACUGAACCUACCUUAACCUAGGAAAGUGACUUCGAUAGGCCUCCUUCCCCCUUGCUGCUUGAAACUAAAAGUCUGGCAGACAAAGCUAAAUGUGCGAUUUUGAGCUGUCGUCCCGCUUAUGAAUACCUGCUUCUUUCACUCUUUAAGACUGUCGGAUGGUACUUGGUUGUUCCCUAAAGCAUUCCCGUUCGCCCCUUGGCUUCGUUCAAUCAAAAAGCAUUUCUCGCCCCAGGUCUAGGAUCGAGCCCUUCUAUGGAAAAUUCGGUAUUAAGUCAUAGAUGCGCCUUUCGACUGGCAUUCACUCCUCCAACACCAACUGAUUCAAUGUCGCUUGGGAUCGGAUCCUUCCAAAAUUCAUUUCCCCUGGAGCUGUGUUCUUUCCCUCCGAAAUCGAUGAUUCUUGGCUACUUGAUUAGGCAUUUCCAUCUCUCAAACUAGAAAGCGCUUUAGCUUAGGAAAGCUCCUUACUUCGUUUUAUACCGCGAGUGACGAACUAUAGCCAUUCGCGGUCACCGCUGUCCUACUUUACUUUUUUAUUAAACCUCACCCAAGGCAAAUCUCGCCCCAUCAAGCAUUUUCACUCGAGCGAAAACAGCUGACCAAGAGACAAGAGCUACCUCACCAGACUCCAUUACUCCUAAGGCUUCUAGAGAGUCUUACUAAUGGCAUACUUCUUCAGUCGAAUGCUCCUGGGCAAAAGAAAGAUGACAUAGACUAUGCCGUUUAUUCAAAAGAGCCAUCACAGCUUAUGAAAGAACAGCUUGGAAAUGGCUAAUUAGUUUAAGGUACUAACCAACUGAGCCGCAGAGAGCCCUUUUUUCAGUGUUGGCGGAAUAGGACCUGUUGGUGGUUUAAAGGGCAUUACAUUAGGAUAUGGAAUAAAUACGACUUUGGUUCCAGAGAUAGCGAUUCGGCUUAGUGAAAAUAGAACUAAAGAGAACGGGUUCAACUUAUCCCAAUCCUCGCUCUGGACCAAGGUGCGUAGCCUUUUAACAUUCUCUUUCUCUCUUUCUGGCUUAGCCUACCAGGGAAAUGGCUCCUUCUUAUUGAUAGCACAUGUGAGAACACCCUUAAGAGGCAAGCUUCACUAAUAUCCCAGGAAUGGGGAAUGAAAGAACUUCUGCUAUCUACUCACUCUUGCCACUGAGAGGGGAUGAGUGAAUACCUGGAAGAUAAAGUUCUCUUAUUCCCGGGAUCAGGGCAUCGACUGCUUAAUUUAUAAAUUCAUACCCGAUAGCAGUAGCCAAUGUCGGAGUUGGAAGAGGAGCCGUUGGUGCUUUAGUUCCGUAGCUCUUGCCUGAGACGGAAAGUUGGCAAAGGCUUCAGACGCGGUCUCCGGUCUCCCUUUUUGGGCACGUGCCAAUCGGUCUUAAAGCCUCGAUGUCCACUAAAGAAGAUAGAGAUCGAGAGAUGUGGCACUCUUCAUAAUGAUUUAGAAAGGCAAGCAAUAGCUGUUUUAAAAGGCAAAGGUUGACUUUAAUUAGCAGGCUCAAGGUCAAUUUCUUUUUGAGUUCCCGGCCCAAGUCAAGGCGAUGCAAUAGUCGGGCGAUAAGGAAGAAGCAGUCCCAGGCCUUAGGUCCAGAUCUGAGAACUUUCGAGAUGUGAAUCAUAGCCUAGUCUAGUUUCGUACCCAACAGCUAAAAGUGAUGUCAUAUUAAAACUUUAUAGAGAAUCACCCAUCGGCCUUAGGAUCCGAGUUUGAAUUGGCUAGGGGGCAUGAGCGGUAGUCAGUGUCAGUGCUUUUGCUCUUACAUAUGCCAGUCUUUUUUCUGUUGAUGCGAAAUAAGUGGUCUUAGCCUUGAGGUUUGGAUUGAAGCACGUCUAAUAGUCGACGAAAGGACAACAGUUUUCAGGUUAAAAAUUAUUUUAUCCCCAUGCCUUUCAUCCGAGAGGAUGUGGUAGUCUAUCUGAAGAGGUCUCCCUAUCUUUCUUCUAUCUUUAAGAUCUAAUCUAGUUAAUGUUAGAACUUUCUCGAGCAUUCUCUUACGUUACGGAUAGAGCAGUCUUGUCUACCUUUGUUUGGUAUGGAAUGAAGGUAGGUGUCUAUCUAGUCAGAGUGAGGUAUUGUUUUUCGAUCAAAUUUGCUAACUUUCCUUUGAAAUGAAGUCCGGUCGAUCACUCUUCCCUUGAAGUCUCCAGCAUUGACCCCUCUUGGCCUCUUUCAUUAGAAAAGGAAAGCGAAAAAUUAUACAAAAACAAAUUACUCAUCACAGAAGGAAGUUUGAAUCCGUCUAAACCCGAUUUCCUUCGUCUUGUCUACAUUUCAUGACUUCUCCCUACACUUCUCUUCUUGCCCAUCUUCACUCCUAAACCUGGACUUGGACUGGCUCGCUUGAAAGAAAUGUACGAAUGCAGCUCGAAAGAGCGGUCUUCAUCUCGUGCGAAAGACUCAUCCCAGGAAAGUCAAAGAAAAGGUCCGACAGAGCAGCGCCUUCGAAGGGCCAGGGCCUAGAAAUGGAACUCUUCGGGAUGCUAAAGUAAAGAGUCAGUCUUUUUCCCUCUACUCCAGUCGAUUUGAAGAAGAGCUGGCUUCUGACUGUAAGCUAUCAACAUAUCUGGGAAUAACCUUUAUCGAGUCGCAUCGAGAAAGAGUUAAAAGAUCUCUCCGUCGUUACGCCCCUUUGAUUCUCUUGUUUUGGGUGUGGGAUCUUUACCAUCUAGCCAUUGAAAGCAGUCUAGUUAAGUCUUUGAAACCAAGGAAAGCAUUCCAAUCACAUCUGAUGAAACAAUAGGCAGAUUAAAAAAAAAAGAAAAAGAUCAAGGCUAAGAGCAAGUGCCACAGAUGAUUCGAGAACUGCCUACUUUGCUACUGAUGGCAUGGCAUACUUCACUAAAUCGGUCUAAUUUGCCUAUCCCUAUUCUUUCACAAGGCAUUCUAGCAAAGAAAAGAGUCGAGCCUAAGCGGUUCAAGCCUAUGUGACCAAUGCUAGCAUAGCUCUUUCAACCUUAGGGGAUUCAGCUCUAUCCAUUCCGAUUGAAAAAAGAGAUACAAUCUAUUCAUCGAAGCUAGCCACUAUCCUCGUAUAAUAAUGCAGAUCUGUGGGCAUUGGGACUUCUUUGCUCCUUCUCUGAGAGAAACUUCCUCUUAUUCGAUCUUAUUAGCUUAGCCUGGAGAGUUAGCUGAUGCUGAUCUGGUAGUAUCAAAGAGGCGAUUCUCAACAGCUUCAACAGCAGAGAUUAUCGGACAUGAGGAUAGGAUGAAGAUGGUGGGAUGAAGUAGUCUUUAAAAAACCAUUAGUAAGGGAAGGCAAAGAAGUAACUGAGGGAAGGGACCUUUACCAUUUCGCUUCUUCCGCUUUUUGGGGAUUCCACUAAUAGAACAGAACUCGAGGGGAACGAAAGGAGUGACCUUCACUCGGAUUAGGGGCUAACCAUGAAUGUCGAGGUGAGCCGGCAAGACCGGGGAAAGAACCUAAUGAGACCCUGUAUGAAGCUCGGGUGCUUCAUGUAGAGAGAGACCGAAGCCAGUCUAGUUCACUUCAUGAUGCCAGGCAAUGAAUCAGUCAAGUAGCGGCUCCUGGCCGGUCUUUGGUUUGCAGACGUUUGGGAAUAGACCGUCUUCUUGCUCUUUUCUAAUAUUCCAAUAUUCAUCUAGCUUUUUAUGCCUAACAAUUGAAUUACGCUUUCAACCUCGUAUGGGUCAGGUGGUCAAUGAGUUGGUCUUCCCUAUGAGUUAGGAGGAGCCGGGUUAGAAGAAUUGUUAGGGAAGGUCCUUGUAGAUGGUCAGAGUCUAGGGAUAGACUCAUUGACUAGUUAGACUGUCUAAGUACUCGUACCAUUCAUGGAUUAGUUGACCAAUCGUGUCAAUUGAAGGAAUGCAUCUGCACUCUCCUAUAGCCUAUAGGGAGGGAGACCUCUUCCUUCCAGGUCAGAGAAAGAAGACAGAUUCUUGAAGACGUCGAUUGGAAGAGUCUGAGUAUGAUCGUCUUCCGGUGACUUGCAGGAUCCAUUUCCGCCUUCUUGUGCUCCUGUAUUCUCAUCCAAUCGUGGAAGCCAUUCAACGCCCCUCUCUUCGGGACCCUCUUAUUUAGCCCGCAGCUGAAAGGAACUUGAUCAACUCGCUGAGAGAACCAAUCUCUGGUAAGCAGUCACCAGGGCAGCAAGGUCAGGCAACAGAGGUUCCCAAAGAAAGGCCGCCUGGGAGGUUUAGCUUAAAGAAGGAGAAAGAUCUGAGUUAACCCAAAGGAGAGGGAAAGGUAAGAAGUCACUCUUCGAGGCAUAGCGCCGUUCUUUAAGCUGUAUUGACCUUGCGCAUAGCCGGUCUGUUGUCAAAGAAUCUCUCUCAUAGGUUAGCUCUCGGGUAAGCGAGACUGAAAGCUUUCUUCGCUGCAUGAGAGCAAGUAAGAAACAGGAAGAGGUGCGUCUAGCCUUAACCCUUUGGCCAGUUGUCUCUAAUAUUACUUUUUUUUGUGCUAAGGCAUCGGUUUUAGGAAGAUAGGUACAUGCUAUUCUAUUAAAGGGGCGAAGCGCUAGUUCGUGGGAAGAGUCCUUUCCUAGCUCGUCAGCCAGCAUCCACCUCACGAACAAGCAGUCCCACUACGCACUAACUAUCAAUUUCAUAAGAGAAGACAGAUCGUAAGGAGAUUUUCGAUGAGUUAGCACUACCUCGAUGUGACAGAAUAAGAGUAAGAAAGCAGAAAAGUAUUCCUCUGAAAAUAGAACUAGUAGCGGAGUGAAGUAGAGAAGACUUUCAGUUCUGCCUUAGCUAGGGAGGGAGGAGUUGUAGGUAUUGCGCUUAUUCGAUUGCACAGUGGAGACAGCAUUUCUUCUCCUCAUACAACUACCCAGUGGUUUUGGAAUAAGAUAUAGCCUUGUUUUUAUCCUCAUAUGCCUCAGUCAUUCAUUGACUACAGCCGUCCCAAUGUGAACUCACUUUUACCUAGUACUUUUUUUAUUAUAAAGAAGAAUUACUGUAUGUCCUGUCAAUUCAAUAGUGUCUGGCUUCUCGGCUGUACUUAUUUGACUACUUCCCCGAAACUUAACUCUAGGUAAGGCCCUCAAGGUCAAUAAGUAAGGAAAGAAAACUACUAGGCCUCCUCUUCUAGGUUGACUCUAGGCUUCUGACUCUUCUGGGGUUCCUCUCCUCGUAGGCUAGGCGGGCUCCCGACUAACAUUUUAUUACUCCCGGAAAAAAGACCCUAGCAGCAGGAGCGCAUUUUUAAAUAAAUUAAAUAAGACCGACCAAGUGCCACUCAAAAGUCUUCUUCUGCUCUCUGAAUCUUAUAUUCAUUCGAAGCUAAGCCAGCUUGCCGGGAAAUCGCUUUCUAAUCUUCUCUGGGCGGAUUCAUCUUCUAGUUUUCGCUAUUCUAUGCAAACAAAACUCCUUCCUAGCUAGGCUUCUCCUUUCCCAGGAGAACUCUUUCUCUUCUAGGUUGACUCUUCUCCGAACUCUUCUUUUAGAACCAGAACAAGGGCAAGCCCUCUAAGCUAUUUAAAAAAUAAAAAUAUAAGUAACAACAAUUGCUAUUGAAUCUCCGGCUAUAGAAUAAGCGGAUUCUAUAAAAAGUAAUUCUUCUUCUUUGACGGCAGGAACACAUUCUGACUUGAAGUUGAAAGAUGCAAAGUCAAGAAUAUCAUAAGUCAAGCAGUUUCUAAAGAAAAGAUUGAUGCUAGCUCCGCUUCCUUCUCUAAUUUUAUGGGUAGGGCCUUCCACAGCGGGAACACGUUCUUCAAAUUGAAAGCAAGAAAGACCAAUGUCAUUCACGCGCUUACUUUACUUCCCAUUCUGGUCGAGUUCGCCGCUUCGAAGCUAGGAUUCCUCUUUUUUUUUUCUAUCUACGAACGUAAAAAUAUGUGAUGUGGUAUCUUACUUAUCUUAGUCUUAGAGAUUGGAUCUUAUUCAAAUGAAAAUGAAAAGCCUACCCAUCCCAGCUAUGAAAUCAGUAGAAGGAACACAGCCGAUUUGGAAACAUUCUCCGAUUCCUCUACAGAAUAUGGUUGAGCAAAAGAAACCGACUCAGCAACAAAGACAAGUGGUAGCAUACUAUGUUUCUUCAUAGGAUUAGGAGAUAUAAUAUGAUCGAGCAACAAAAAUUGGUUCAGCGGUUAGAGUUAUACUAUCUUAUUUUUAUAGAAUCGAUUACUGAUUGGAGACAUCAACCGAUGAGGAGACAACCUCUGAUUAAGUGACCUCUUUAUAGAUCAACCUUUCCCGGGAAAGAAGUUUUCUUCUCUAAAGCAGACUCCAUGGCACCAAACUAUUAGGAUUAGAAGACAGAAUCUGGUUCUGUGGGGGAAGGAAGACCUGACUUCAGGAGUGAAAGUGAAGUUCCUACAAAGGAAGAUUCAUUAGUUCUAUUUAAGAUUCUUAUUCAAGAUCCGUUAUUAUUAUUAUAUUUAUAAAUAAUAAUAAAAAAGCUUACCCUUGAUUUCCAAAAGGGAAAAAGCCCUUCAAAGUAAAGAAAGAAAGGCUAGUGCCACGGACUCUUAAACGAAAGGAAAUGAAUGAGUUCCAGAUCCAUUUAUGGCGUCCCGAGUUCUUUAUUCUCUUUGCUCGGCUUCUUUUUCUAUUGAUCAGAAGCAUCAAGCAGCGCCGGUUUAGAAUUCGAUUCUAAGAAAGGGCUCAGGCCCUCCCCCCUCCCUUUUUUUAUCCCAUUCUUGCUUUCAACUAUUGAAAAUUCUGUCUAUUUCACCGCCAUACCAAAAAAAAAGUAUCCUACUUUGCGUGAUGGUCAUAUAUGAUGACCAAUCUUAUCAAUUGGAACGAUGUUCAGGCAUACCUGAAAGCAACCAAUGUCACUGAAGCUACUACUAGGAAGCUUCUUGACUUUAUAGGACAGUCGUCAUACUUCUUGCUUUUCUUGGAAGCGUCGUGCGUAUGUUCCUAAGGCUGGCCUUGUCAAUUCCUAAGCUUUGCUUCCCCGUCCCCCCUAGGCUUAGUCCCCUUAUGAAUCAAAAUUUACCAGGAUAGGCCUCUUCUUCAUACUGAAGAAAAAGUCACUCGAAGUAGUCAGCUUAUUAGCAGUAUAAGAGGAAGCCUAGCUAAAUAAGUAUGUAAGAAGCUUCCCUUUAACUUAAGGCUUGAGCUUGCCCUUUUCAUAACAUCAAAUUCGGCCUAGAACGCCUAGCGACUAUUACUAUAAAUAAGAAAAGGCUAGGUGUCCAUGCCACCAACCAACUCCUGAAAGAAAACAAGAGCUUCUCCGUCCGACAAACCACUAGAAGUACCCAUCGAGUCGAGCAAUGAUCCAAUGAAGCAAGCUGCUCUUUGUCACCCCAUUUUCCCCGGGAAACAAGAGCAGGAGCAGCCCAUUCAGGCUUGGUCAAUGAAAAUUUUACUAUUAAUAGGCCGGAACCGUAGCCAAUGAGUCUGCUCCACUCCUCUUUGUUCUGCACCACUUGGCUAUAGCUAUUUCCCCACCUAGGAUCCCCAAAAAAAUAGCAUAAUAUAUAAUAUAAUAAAGUGAAAGAUUAGAUUGUUACAGAAGACCAGAUCGAGGGAAGGUACCGGACAAUCAAAGAAAGAAGCCAGCUUAAAAGCACCCUGGUCGAAGCGAAGCGCAUGCGAUGAGGGAAGAGAGAGACCACCAAUGCAAGUGGAUCGACUUAAGCAUCGAUUUCGAAGGCGACAACAUGAAGCAUGAAAAUAGAGCCAGCCACUUUUCUCGUUAAUAAUGCUACAAGCAACAAUGAGAAAACACGCUCUUGGAUGCAUGCAUGCCCCUAUCCCCCACCCAUCGUCCUGAUCUUGGCUUGAAGUAUCCAACCCGAUCUUGGCUUGGAGUAUCCAAGUAGCGCUAAAAUGAAAAAGCGAACUAUUGGAAUUCUUGGGCUUAGCCUUUGAAUUGCCCUGGAUCAGUCCUAUACUAGGUCACAAUCAACCCAUAACUUAAAAUAAAAGAAAAAGAUCGAAGUCGAGAAGCUCAUCGCUCAUGCUUCCAACCCGUGCUUUCAACCCCGGAAAGACUUCGUUGACACACACAAUAUCUUCACCACCCUCCCGACUCGCGAUCCCCAAUGUGGCUUUCCUCACUUCGGUAAGUUACAAGGAUGAAUGCAAAUAGCAAGGCGCUAUGCUGCGUGAAGUGAGACUGGCUGCCCUAAGUUAAGUGCUUCCUUAUUCAUUAAUGAUCUUGCUCAGUAGGAGGGCUUUCCCCCUUCUGUGCAGCCUGAUUCUAUCUCUGGAAAUGAGGUUGCCCUCGAUUGACAUUUAUCAUCGAAUAUGGAAUCCUCCCAUGGAUGAGAAGGUUGAGUUACAGACUCCGUUGGCUUUCGCAGGGAAGCAUCUCGAAAGUUCCGUAAUCUAUGGUUGAUGCCUCACUCGAACUCUAUCCCAUUCCCUACUUUACUUUAUUCGUCCGAGCGGCCCCUCUAGGAUGCGAUGCGGGAAGGAAGAAGGAUUUCUUUCUACCAUUAAAUAAUUCGCAAUAGUUAACCAAGCAGUAGCCAAGAACAAAGAAGCAAGCCAAGAUCAAUGGAGGGUCGCCCCAGUCAAAGAUGGUAAGGAGUAGCAUCAAUAACAUUCAUUGUAUGUACGCCUCUCAGCGAUCCACAGGCAUCUGUAGCAUGUUGUACCCGAGGGUCAUUUGGGCUGUGUCCGUUACACCAUGGACAAUAAUCUUAGUCGGAAUCAAAUUCCUUACCUUUCAACCUAAAGCUGAACAUAUCCGCACAGGUAUUCUAUUUAUUGAGGAUCCAUUUUCUAAAAAUGCCCCCUUUUGAUUAGCCAGUUUCUAAGGGGGAGAAGCAAGCCGAACCUCUGAUUGACCUAGACACAAAAAAUUCUCGGCGUCGAGAAAGAUUUGAGAUUCCGUAAGUAACAAAGUGAGUGCUUUCUAAGGGAAAAAGAAAAUGAAAUACGAACAACCGCGCUAGUCGUAAUAGAUCGACUUUCAUGCUAGUUCUUGCUCCAGCAUGAAAGUUCCAUUUCAGGGAAGGACGACGUACCAUGAUACUUUCUGUUUUGUCGAGCCUUGCUUUGGUCUCUGGUUUGAUGGUUGUACGUGCUAAAAAUCCGGUACAUUCCGUUUUGUUUCCCAUCCUAGUCUUUUGCGACACUUCAGGUUUACUUCUUUUGUUAGGUCUCGACUUCUCCGCUAUGAUCUUCCCAGUAGUUCAUAUAGGAGCUAUAGCCGUUUCAUUCCUAUUCGUUGUUAUGAUGUUCCAUAUUCAAAUAGCGGAGAUUCACGAAGAAGUAUUACGCUAUUUACCAGUGAGUGGUAUUAUUGGACUGAUCUUUUGGUGGGAAAUGUUCUUCAUUUUAGAUAAUGAAACCAUUCCAUUACUACCAACCCAAAGAAAUACGACCUCUCUGAGAUAUACGGUUUAUGCCGUAAAGGUACGAAGUUGGACUAAUUUGGAAACAUUGGGCAAUUUACUUUAUACCUACUAUUUCGUCUGGUUUUUGGUUCCUAGUCUGAUUUUAUUAGUAGCCAUGAUUGGGGCUAUAGUACUAACUAUGCAUAGGACUACCCACGGAGCGGUGAAAAGACAGGAUGUAUUCCGACGAAAUGCUAUUUCUUUUAGGA
This 17615-nucleotide long non-coding RNA is filed under the name Gossypium barbadense (sea-island cotton). Its description in RNAcentral is "long non-coding RNA (GBAR_LNC002384)". Lineage: Eukaryota; Viridiplantae; Streptophyta; Magnoliopsida; Malvales; Malvaceae. The record is from RNAcentral.